GGGGGAAUUUUCCGCAAUGGGCGAAAGCCUGACGGAGCAAUACCGCGUGAGGGAUGACGGCCUAUGGGUUGUAAACCUCUUUUUUCAGGGAGGAAUCAAUGACGUGUACCUGAAGAAUAAGCAUCGGCUAACUCCGUGCCAGCAGCCGCGGUAAGACGGAGGAUGCAAGUGUUAUCCGGAAUCACUGGGCGUAAAGCGUCUGUAGGUGGUCAAAUAAGUCAACUGUUAAAUCUUGAGGCUCAACCUCAAAAUCGCAGUCGAAACUAUUAGACUAGAGUAUAGUAGGGGUAAAGGGAAUUUCCAGUGGAGCGGUGAAAUGCGUAGAGAUUGGAAGGAACACCGAUGGCGAAGGCACUUUACUGGGCUAUUACUAACACUCAGAGACGAAAGCUAGGGUAGCAAAAGGGAUUAGAUACCCCU
This 420-nucleotide ribosomal RNA is filed under the name uncultured bacterium. Its description in RNAcentral is "bacterial SSU rRNA". It matches the Rfam family "Bacterial small subunit ribosomal RNA", at positions 355 to 789 of the family's 1533-position model. The record is from RNAcentral.